This 625-nucleotide ribosomal RNA is filed under the name Microbacteriaceae bacterium So1Ps_688. RNAcentral describes it as "bacterial SSU rRNA". It matches the Rfam family "Bacterial small subunit ribosomal RNA", at positions 388 to 1029 of the family's 1533-position model. Lineage: Bacteria; Bacillati; Actinomycetota; Actinomycetes; Micrococcales; Microbacteriaceae. The record is from RNAcentral.
GCAGCAACGCCGCGUGAGGGACGACGGCCAAUGGGCGUAAACCUCUUUUAGCAAGGAAGAAGCGAAAGCGACGGUACUUGCUUAAAAAGCGCCGGCAACACGAGCCAGCAGCCGCGGUAAUACGUAGGGCGCAAGCGUAUCCGGAAUAUUGGGCGUAAAGAGCUCGUAGGCGGUUUGUCGCGUCUGCUGUGAAAACUGGGGGCUCAACCCCCAGCCUGCAGUGGGUACGGGCAGACUAGAGUGCGGUAGGGGAGAUUGGAAUUCCUGGUGUAGCGGUGGAAUGCGCAGAUAUCAGGAGGAACACCGAUGGCGAAGGCAGACCUCUGGGCCGUAACUGACGCUGAGGAGCGAAAGGGUGGGGAGCAAACAGGCUUAGAUACCCUGGUAGUCCACCCCGUAAACGUUGGGAACUAGUUGUGGGGUCCAUUCCACGGAUUCCGUGACGCAGCUAACGCAUUAAGUUCCCCGCCUGGGGAGUACGGCCGCAAGGCUAAAACUCAAAGGAAUUGACGGGGACCCGCACAAGCGGCGGAGCACGCGGAUUAAUUCGAUGCAACGCGAAGAACCCUACCAAGGCUUGACAUAUACUAGAACGGGCUAGAGAUAGUCAACUCUUUGGACACUC